AUGUGUCUCUCGUCUCUAGGGGAGCCACACGUGUUGUCUCAAGUCGUCUCUAGGGACUCACACGUGUGUCUCGUGUCUCUAGAGGGAACCCACACGUGUGUCUCUCGUCUCUAGGGGACCCCCGUGUGUCUCAGUCGUCUCUAGUGGACCCACACGUGUUCUCAGUCGUCUCUUAGGGGACCCACACGUGUGUCUCUAGGGGCCUCACAUGUGUCUCUAGGGCCCUCACAUGGUGUCUCUUAGGGGCACCUCACAUGUUGUCUAUCGUCUCUAGGACCCAACGUGUGUCUCAGUCGUCUCUAGGGGACCACACAUGUGUCUCAGUCGUCUCUAGGGGCCCUCACAUGUGUCUCUCGUCUCUAGGGGCCCUCACAUGUGUCUCAA
This 384-nucleotide long non-coding RNA is filed under the name Neogobius melanostomus (round goby). RNAcentral's name for it is "lncRNA (ENSNMLG00000017036.1)". The record is from RNAcentral. Lineage: Eukaryota; Metazoa; Chordata; Actinopteri; Gobiiformes; Gobiidae.